RNAcentral lists this ribosomal RNA (603 nucleotides) under Triticum aestivum (bread wheat). RNAcentral describes it as "partial small subunit ribosomal RNA". Lineage: Eukaryota; Viridiplantae; Streptophyta; Magnoliopsida; Poales; Poaceae. The record is from RNAcentral.
AUGAAGUCUCCCCUCGAGGUGUUGCUUCAUGAAACUCCAGAUUACUCCUUCCUCAAAGUGUUCGGUUGUGCGUGUUGGCCACAUCUUCGUCCAUACAACAAGCAUAAACUUCAGUAUCGAUCAAAAAAGUGUGUAUUCCUUGGGUACAGUCCUUUCCACAAAGGUUACAAGUGUCUCCAUAUUCCGACGAACCGCGUUUACAUUUCCCGUGACGUUGUGUUCGAUGAGACUGUCUUCCCUUUUUCCACAUUCACAUCAUCCACUGAUACUCCCGUCACCAAGUUGCACUCUUUUCCAGUUUUGCCUGCUCAAUUUGUGGAUGCUGCAUAUUCUCCUCUGUUGUUGCCUAACCAUGGUGCAGGGACUGGACGAGGUGCGCGACUUGAGCUUCUUGAGGAUGAUCAUGCGGCCUCACCUGAGCUAGCCGCCACUACGUCGGCUGUGCCUGCUGCCACGCAGGCUGUUCACGACGUCGACCACGAGUGCAUGGGGCAUGCAAGUGGACUUGACAAGGCACCCACGUCGCCUGUGUCCGUGGUCUCGUUGCCACCUGGGCCGGCCGAUUCAUCGGCGCUGUCGCCUGGUGUUGGAAAUAUGCCCUAG